Long non-coding RNA from Orcinus orca (killer whale), 5911 nucleotides. RefSeq lists it as uncharacterized. Lineage: Eukaryota; Metazoa; Chordata; Mammalia; Artiodactyla; Delphinidae. The transcript is spliced from 6 exons. The record is from RefSeq and is a predicted model, not a curated record.
CCUGUGUUGGGUGCAUAAAUAUUUACAAUGGUUAUAUCUUCUUCUUGGAUAGAUCAUUUGAUCAUUAUGUAGUGUCCUUCUUUGUCUCUUGUAAUAGUCUUUAUUUUAAAGUCUGUUUUGUCUGGUAUGAGAAUUGCUACUCCAGCUUUCUUUUGAUUUCCAUUUGCAUGGAAUAUCUUUUUCCAUCCCCUCACUUUCAGUCUGUAUGUGUCCCUAGGUCUGAAGUGGGUCUCUUGUAGACAGCAUAUAUACGGGUCUUGUUUUUGUAUCCAUUCAACCAGUCUGUGUCUUUUGACUGGAGCAUUUAAUCCAUUUACACUUAAGGUAGUUAUCAAUAUGCAUGUUCCUAUUACCAUUUUCUUAAUUGUUUUUAGUUUGUUAUUGUAGGUCUUUUCCUUCUCUUGUGUUUCCUGCCUAGAGAAGUUCCUUUAGCAUUUGUUGUAGAGCUGGUUUGGUGGUGCUGAAUUCUCUUAGGUUUUGCUUGUCUGUAAAGAUUUUAAUUUCUCCGUGGAAUCUAAAAGAGAUCCUUGCUGUGUAGAGUUAUCUUGUUAUGUAGGUUUUUCACUUUCAUCACUUUAAAUAUGUCCUGCCACUCCCUUCUGGCUUGCAGAGUUUCUGCUGACAGAUCAGCUGUUAAUCUCAUGGGGAUUCCCUUGUAUGUUAUUUGUUGCUUUUCCCUUGCUGCUUUUAAUACUUUUUCUUUGUAUUUAAUUUUUCAUAGUUUGAUUAAUAUGUCUUGGCAUGUUUCUCCUUGGAUUUAUUCUGCAUGGGACUUCUUGCGCUUCCUGGACUUGAUUGACUAUUUCCUUUCCCAUACUGGGAAGUUUUCAACUAUAAUCUCUUCAGAUAUUUUCUCAGUCCCUUUCUUUUAGUCUUCUUCUUCUGGGACUGCUAUAAUUCGAAUGUUGGUCCAUUUAAUGUUGUCCCAGAGGUCUCUGAGAUUGUCCUCAAUUCUUUUCAUUCUUUUUUUCUUUAUUCUGCUGUGCAGUAGUUUUUUACACUAUUUUACCUUCCACAUCACGUAUCCAUUCUUCUGCCUUAGUUAUUCUGCUAUUGUUUCCUUCUAGAGAAUUUUUAAUUUCAUUUAUUGUGGUGUUCAUCAUUGUUUUUUUUUGCUCUUUAGUUCUUCUAGGUCCUUGCUAAACAUUUCCUGUAUUUUCUCCAUUCUAUUUCCAAGGUUUUGGAUCAUCUUUACUGUCAUUACUCUGAAUUCCUUUUCAGGUAGACUGCCUAUUUCCUCUUCGUUUGUUUGGUCUGCUGAGUUUUUACCUUGCUCCCUCAUCUGCUGUGUGUUUCUCUGUCUUCUUAUUUUGCUUCACUUACUGUGUUUGGGGUCUCCUUUUCGCAGGUUGCAGGUUCAUAGUUUCUCUUGUUUUUGGUGUCUGCCCCCAGAGGGUAAGGUUGGUUCAGUGGGUUGUGUAGGGUUCCUGGUGGAGGGGACUGGUGCCUGUUUUCUCGUGGAUGAGGCUGUAUCUUGUCUUUCUAAUGGGCAGGACCACAUCUGGUUGUGUGUUUUGCAGUGUCUGUGAACUUAUUAUGAUCUUAGGCAGCCUCUCUGCCAAUGGGUGGGGUUGUGUUCCUGUCUUGCUAGUUGUUUGGCAUAGGGCGUCCAGCACUGUAACUUUCUGGUCGUUGAGUGGAGCUAGGUCUUAGCAUUGAGAUGGACAUCUCUUUGAGAGCUUUCGCCAUUUGAUGUUACCUGGAGCCAGGAAGUCUCUGGUGGGCCAAUGUCUCCCACCUCAGAAGCACAGACCUGACACCCAGCUGGAGCACCAAGACCCAGCUGAUAAUAAAGAAGUACACAGGGAGAGAUCAGGAAGGGUCCCGAGCAGAGGAACUUCUGACUCUGUGAAAUUGGGAUGCACCAUGCUCCCAGCAUGUGGACAUGCUCACCAACUCCAAAGCUCUCCUACUUGGGCUUUUAGACAUUUUGUUCUUGAGAACCAGAUUCCUACCGUUUCUAUUAAAUUCUACUGAUAGGUCUUGUCUACCUGCUAUGUGCUAGGCACUGGUAGGUGAUGAGGAUGCUAACAUGAAUGUGGCAUAACCCUUGUCCUCAAGAGCUUCCAAUGAAAUAAAACAGAUUGUAAUUUGACUUACCAUCAUCUUAUCUGGCCAAGCUUUCCAGAUCCUCCCAUUCCUGCAUUGAACUAACCAUCUUCUCUGCACUAAAUCUGUGCCUUGUAUAUAAUUUUUAUUGCCACACUUAUCAGAAGAGUUUAACUUCUUUGUUUACAGCCCUGUCACCUUUUCUAGACUGUGAGCUCCUUGAGGGCAGGGUUUGUAUCUAAUUUAUCUCUGCCCUCAGUGCCUAGCAUGAUGACUGACACAGGGAAGGAUCUCUUUAUAUUGUUGCAGGAAAGAAUCAGGUUACACUGUGAUGAGCGACAAAUGCAAACUCAUAAUAAAAGUGCUCUGGGGCUGGCCAGCUUUCCCAACACCAUUUGGUGAAGAGACUGUCUUCUCCAUUGUAUAUUCUUGCCUCCUUUUUUGAAGAUUAAUUGAUCAUAGGUUUGUGGAUUUAUUCCUGGGCUCUCUAUUCUGUUCCAUUGAUCUGCAUGUCUGUUUUUGUGCCAAUACCAUGCUGUUCUGAUUACUGUAGCUUUGUAGUGUUGUCUGAAGUCUGAGAGGGUUAUGCCUCCAGCUUUGUUUUCCUCAGGAUUGCUUUUGCAAUCUGGGUCUUUUGUGGUUCCAUAUAAGUUUUAGGAUUAUUUGUUCCAGUUCCGUGAAAAAUGUAAUGGGUAAUUUGAUAGGGAUCACAUUAAAUCUGUAGAUUCUUAAGGUAGUAUGGCCAUUUUAACAAUAUUAAUCUUCCAAUCCAAGAGCAUGGGAUAUCUCUCCAUUUCUUUGAAUCAUCGUCGGUUUCCAUUAUCGAUGUUUUAUAGUUCUCAGCGUAUAGGUCUUUCAGCUCCUUGGUUAGGUUUAUUCCUAGGAAUUUUAUUUUUUGACCUGAAUUUUAAAUGGGAUUGUUUUACUUUUUCUUUCUCAUAUUAACUGUUAGUGUAAAGAAAUGCAACAGAUUUCUGUAUAUUAAUCUUGUAUCCUGCUACCUUGCUAAAUUCAUUUAUUAAUUCUAAUAGUUUUUGUGUGUGGUGUUUAAGGUUUUCUGUAUAGAGUAUCAUGUCAUCUGCAUAUAACGACAGUUUUACCUCUUCCUUUCCAAUUUGGACACCUUUUAUUUCCUUUUUUAGAACACUCCCUCACACUGUAUACAAAAAUAAACUCAAAAUGGUUUAAAGACCUAAAUAUAAGACAUGACACCAUAAAACUCCUAGAAGAGAACAUAAGCAAACCAUUCUCUGACAUAAAUUAUAGCAAUAUUUUCUUAGAUCAGUCUCCCAAGGCAAAAGAAUUAAAAGCAAAAAUAAACAGGCGGGACCUAAUCAAACUUAAUAGCUUUUGCACAGCAAAGGAAAUCAUCAACAAAAUGAAAAAACCUAUGGAAUGGAAGAAAAUAUUUGCAAACAAUGUGACUAACAAGGGGUUAAUAGCCAAAACAUACGAACAGCUCAUAGAACUCAAUAUCGGAAGAACAAACAACCCAAUCAAAAAAUGGGCAGAGGGGCUUCCCUGGUGGCACAGUAGUUGACAGUCCACCUGCCGAUGCAGGGGACACAGGUUCGUGUCCCGGUCCGGGAAGAUUCCACAUGCCACGGAGUGGCUGGGCCUGUGAGCCAUGGCUGCUGAGCCUGCGUGUCUGGAGCCUGUGCUCCGCAACGGGAAAGGCCACAACAGUGAGAGGCCCACGUAUCGCAAAAAAAAAAAAAAAAAAAAAAAAUGGGCAGAAGACCUAAGUAGAUAUUUCUCCAAAGAAGACAUAGAGAUGGUCAAUAGGCACAUGAAAAGAUGCUCAACAUCGCUAAUUAUUAGAGAAAUACAAAUCAAAACAACAAUGAGGUAUCACCUCACAUGGGUCAGAAUGGCCAUCAUCAAAAUGUCUACAAAUAAUAAAUGCUGGAGUGUAUGGGGAAAAGGGAACCCUCCUGCACUGUUGGUGGGAAUGUAAAUUGGUGCAGCCACUAUGGAGAACAGUAUGGAGGUUCUUUACAAAACUAAAAAUAGAGUUACUAUAUAAUCCAGUAAUCCCACUUCUGGGCAUAUAUCCAGAAAAGAUGAAAACUCUAAUUCGAAAAGAUACAUGCACCCCAAUGUUCAUAGCAGCACUAUUUACAAUAGCCAAGACAUGGAAAUAACCCAAGUGCCCAUCAACAGACGAUUGGUUUAAGAAGAUAUGGCAUACACACACACACACACACACACACACACACACACACACACACACACACACACACACACACACACACACACACACACACACACACACAGUGGAAUAUUACCCAGCCAUAACAAAGAAUGAAAUGUCAUUUGCAGCAACAUGAAUGGACAUAGAGGUUAUCAUACUAAGUGAAGUAAAUCAAACGAGAAAAGACAAAUAUUAUACUACUUAUAUGUGGAAUCUAAAAAUAAUACAAAUGAAUUUAUUUACAAAACAGAAACAGACUCACAGACUUCAAAAACAAACUUAUGGUUACCAAAGGGGAAAUGGAGGGGGGAAGAGGGAUAACUUAGGAGUAUGGAAUUAACAGAUAGACACUACUAUAUAUAAAAUUGAUAACAAGGAUUUUCUGUAUAACACAAAGAAUUAUAUUCAACAUCUUGUGAUAACCAAUAAUGGAAAAAUCUGAAAUAUAUAUGUAAAACUGAAUCAUUUUGCUGUACACCUGAAACUAACACAAUAUUGUAAAUCAAAUAUACUUCAGAUUUUUGUUUUUCUUUUAAAGUGCUAUGGGAUCAAAGAGGAGGGAAGAAUUAAUUUGGUGAGAGAGAUCAUGGAAAGCUUCAGAAAAGAAGUGACACAAGCUAUGAAAUGAAAUAUAAGACAGGUUUGCCCAGAUGAAGUAAAAGAAGUCAGUCUGGGCAGAAGGAAUAAGGGGAUUGGAAGAAAGGUAUGAAAAAAUGCUUUUAUUUUGAGAACAAAUAUUCCAAAUGGAAAGAGCAUGGAAUUCAUAAAAGUAAAAUGUCCCACUAUUAUGAGUCAAAGUGGUGCAAUUUGUUUGGAUUUUACUGGAUUUUGGCUUAUUGUCCUCUAUUUGUAGCUCAUAUUCUCAUCACUGGCACAUGGUGUCAUUCACUCUGCUUCUUUAUACUCCCUACCCACCCUUCCCUCUCCCUACCUGUCUUCCCUCUUAACGUUGACCUCUUUUGUCUUUACUCAGCUGGAGUCAUAGCACUGGCCUGUGUUCCCAUGAUCACCUUCAAAUUAAUCUUUAUGCCAUAAUCUCUUUGCUAGUUCAAGUGACCACAGGCCAGCUGAAAUUUGGAAUUCCACAGAUGAAUGGCUGAGAGAAGAUAGCUUCAUCAGGCACACACAUUUAGCUCGCUUUUCCUGUAUUUCAUGGCUGAUUUCUCAAGACUUCACUGGCCCAGUGGCUCCACACAGGCGUUAUCCUGUCUUUGUCCUACAAAGGCUAAUCUGCUUUCAGGGUCUAUGGGCUCCAGGGGCCUGAGACCAGUCACCAAGAUGUCUCAGCCCUGGGAUAUCAGAUUCCCUAGGAUAACGCAGGUACACAUUUUCCUGGAAUAUUUCAGCAUUAGGCUUCCUGAAAUUUGGCAGCAGUGAGUGUAGUUUUUAGAGGAGAAGGUAAAAGGAGGCCUCCAAAUCUUUCUUCAAACUCCUUCCAUUGAUUACAAAGGAAAGAAGGUAAACCAAGAAGAGCCAAGCAGCAGUAGUAUUUCUAAUUAACUGCCCCUGAGAAUUUGAGGUUUCCUAAGAAACGACCAAAAGAAUGCUAACUUGGAAUGAUGGUUACUGGAUGUCCAAUCCAAAAGGCUCACUCCAUCUCAGCGUCUGCUUCCAGGAGAAUUCAAACAGCCGCUCCAGUUGAAGGACAGCCUCAUUAUGACCAGGUAC